UAGGGAAUAUUAGAAAUGGACGAAAGUCUGAUCUAGCAACACCGCGUGUGCGAAGAAGGCCUUCGGGUUGUAAAGCACUUUUUGGAAGGAUUAGGAAGGAAUGUACUUCCAGAAUAAGUCUCGGCUAACUACGUGCCAGCAGCCGCGGUAACACGUAGGAGGCAAACGUUAUCCGGAUUUACUGGGCGUAAAGCGCGUGUAGGUGGUUCUGUAAGUAGGGCGUGAAAGCUCCUGGCUCAACCGGGAGAGGCCGUUCUAAACUACAGAACUAGAGGAUGGUAGAGGGAGGUGGAAUUCCAGGUGUAGCGGUGGAAUGCGCGGAGAUCUGGAGGAACACCAGUGGCGAAGGCGGCCUCCUGGACCAUUCCUGACACUCAGACACGAAAGCUAAGGUAGCAAACG
This 402-nucleotide ribosomal RNA is filed under the name uncultured prokaryote. RNAcentral's name for it is "bacterial SSU rRNA". It matches the Rfam family "Bacterial small subunit ribosomal RNA", at positions 355 to 774 of the family's 1533-position model. The record is from RNAcentral.